CCCGUAGGCGGUUCGUCGCGUCCGGUGUGAAAGUCCAUCGUUUAACGGUGGAUCCGCGCCGGGUACGGGCGGGCUUGAGUGCGGUAGGGGAGACUGGAAUUCCCGGUGUAACGGUGGAAUGUGUAGAUAUCGGGAAGAACACCAAUGGCGAAGGCAGGUCUCUGGGCCGUCACUGACGCUGAGGAGCGAAAGCGUGGGGAGCGAACA
This 207-nucleotide ribosomal RNA is filed under the name uncultured bacterium. RNAcentral describes it as "partial 16S ribosomal RNA". It matches the Rfam family "Bacterial small subunit ribosomal RNA", at positions 568 to 774 of the family's 1533-position model. The record is from RNAcentral.